This 575-nucleotide long non-coding RNA is filed under the name Equus caballus (horse). RNAcentral's name for it is "lncRNA (ENSECAG00000058415.1)". The record is from RNAcentral. Lineage: Eukaryota; Metazoa; Chordata; Mammalia; Perissodactyla; Equidae.
CGGGAGCCCACCGGCGUUCAGCUGCCGUUGCGCCCGACUCGGCCCAGGCCCGGGGGGUCGCGGCCCCAGGCGUCUCCAUGGUGCUGGCAUCUGAGGCGGGUGUGAAGCAAGGCAGGGCGAGGCCGUUCGGCUGCCUUUGCUUUUGGAAUCACUCAACGAACGUAUUUCAAAGGGGACGAGCAUGCUGUGUCGACUUCACCUCUAUGGUUUUCCGAGGCUUUAGACUGGACAGCUGUCCUGCAAAAGACCAGCCAGAAGAAACUAGAAGAGUAGAGAAAAAUUUCUUCCUCCCCCACAGUUGGCAUAGCUGGGAGGAUGUACUUCCUCAGCUGGACUCUGCUCUCUCUGAGGCUGCUGCAACUGAGAGAUCCUGGGACAUCUGACAAGCACCGGCAGAAGCAGGACACAAUUGGAAACUGGUUCCAUUACCAAGGCUUUGACUGGAAUGUCAUAUUUGAGAGAGAAUGUACAUAGACACAGGUGUGACCGGACAGCUUUAAGGAACCAAAGUUGACUUUAUGGAGCCAAUAAAGCCUCUUGAAAAUAUUAGUCUAAUAUCUUGCUUAUAGUGUUCC